UCAAGGCAUUUGUUUAUGUUUUCGCCGUCCUUGCUAUGGAGGACAAAGUUAAAGAAGCAACUGAAAUGGGUAUCACGGCGAUGCAACUCGGCGUGCACGACGAGAUGGAUAUAAUUAGCGGUCGUUGCCAGCUUCUUUUCGGAAGCCUGGAAUCGUGACUGCUGAAUAAGUGGAGGGACAUGCUAGGCUCCGAUAUUUUUCAAGCCAACGUAUAGCUACCGUCGUGGAUGAAGUUCACCUAACGUACAAAUGCUUCACAAGUGCAGGAGGCUCAAUUCCAUACCUGGGGAGGAAAUUCAGUCAGUUAUGAUUGAAAGGCUAUAUGAUCGUCAUAUGCAACAGGAAAAACUGGAAAGAAUUGAGAGAACCAACCUUGAAGCAAUUCUCCCGAGCUGCAUGAGACACAAGCAAACGUCCCUGGGAUGCCUCUGAAGAACUGGUUUUUUUCUGUUUCAAGUAAAGUUGCUUUGGAACGAUGAACAAUUGUGAAAAGCGCUAUAUAAAUAAAAUAAAAUGGAACUGAAUUGAACAAAAGACUUUUAUACAUGUUGAUGGGACAAGCGAAUAUGGUGCCCCAUUGAAUACUUACCAAGAUCUUCAGAUUCAAAAAGAUGUGACUGAGCCACCCCAA
Misgurnus anguillicaudatus (oriental weatherfish) is the source of this 631-nucleotide non-coding RNA. Lineage: Eukaryota; Metazoa; Chordata; Actinopteri; Cypriniformes; Cobitidae. The record is from RefSeq and is a predicted model, not a curated record.